CGAUAUGCAUGGAUAGACAUGACGUAUGAUCAUGCCACGUGUACGGUGCACAUAACCCCAUUCUCUCUCCUCCCCUGCACUAUAAAUUGAGGGCAUGGCCUUCCUAUAACUCGUUCAAAACAGAGUUGGUGUUUAUUUGGUUAAUAGCAACUUAAUCUUAAAUUUCAGUUGUGAUUUUUUAUCUCAUUCUAAAAAUGUCGUCGUGCUGUGGAGGCAAAUGUGGUUGCGGGGCUGGCUGCAAGUGCGGCAGCGGCUGUGGAGGGUAAGUUUCUGUCUGUUUUCCUGGAAACAAGAAAACUUUCCCAGAAAUUUUUUCUGCUCUGUUUUUUCUCUUUCUUUUUUUGUUGUCUUUAAAUCAGGCCCUGAUCAAAUUUUUUAUCAUUUUUCAUUAUGUGGGUGUUUAUGAAUCUUCAUGCAGGUGCGGGAUGUACCCUGAUAUUUCCAUGGAACAGAGCACCACAACUGAGACCCUUAUAAUGGGGGUUGCACCUCAAACCUCGUAUGUAUUUUGUCACAUCCAUGAAAUUCCAUAUGAUACUUUUUUACACUUUUCUCAUUUGAAGAUUUUGUGGUAAUUUUUUUGCUAAUUAAUUUGUAAUUGGGUUUUUAAUCUGCAGUCAUUUUGAGGCUUCUGAGAUGGGUGUUGUUGCUGAGAAUGGAUGCAAGUGUGGAGACAACUGCACCUGCAACCCCUGCAAGUGUGGAAAGUGAAAGAAAAAUGACAGCUUUUGAAGAAGAGGAUGAUGGACUUCUAAUAUAGUAGCAAGUAAUCUAUGCGUGUGUGGUUUUUAUGAUCCAAAAUACCAAGUUUGUGUGUUUUAGGAACCGAGUUAGGAACUAAGUUUUAGAAUAAAGUGGUCAUGGCCCGGCUCUUUGCAGAUCCUUCUAGGCUAGGAUCUGAUAAGGGUGAUCCUAGGCAUGCCUGCUUGUGUCUGUUUUCAUUGCACAAAAGUAGUAUCUAUAUAUGUAUGUGGGUUUGUGAGGUGUUUGUUGAUUGGUGGAUCAUAUUUUAUGUAAUUGUGAGAGGGGAUAAAGAGUUUUUAAUGUUAUGAAUGAAAACUAGCUCCUUUAUUUUACUUUAAUUUGUGGGAUUAAUUAUGGUUUUGGUGAUAAUGGUGACAUCUUUGUGCAUUAUUUAAGGAUUUGCAAAAGACAACACGGCAGGUCAACAAGAUAUCAUACUUAUCUAGAAGAGAUUUCAAUGUACAUGCGCUAACAAGACCUUGAACUUAUCUGGAAGAAAUUUCAAUUAAGUUUUAAGUAUGUACUAAUCAAACAAAUUAUUUAAGGAUUUGUAACCCAACAAAAUAAUAUGAAAGUAGUGGACUAUCUAUACUUUUUCGUGAGAAAAGUAGAAUUCUACUCUCAUGUUUUUUUUUUUGUCUUCUGUAAUUGAUAGAUUAUUGAGAACAGCCUCCUCAAUGCCAAAAGAACACUUUCACCCACUUUCACCCAUCUGUCAAUGGCAAAACUAGAUAAGAUUGCAAGCAAGUUGUAGAUUUGGGCAUAACUGAGCGGAUAAGUGCUUAGAGCGGAUGCGUUCAAUGUUAGAAUAUCGCUUGUAUAUGAAAAAUAAAAAUAAAAGAUUGCUAGGCUGAAAUUAAUCUGUCUACACAAAUCCAACACAGGGUCUUUUUUAGUCUUACAAGGACACGUAAUUCACAUCAAUAUGGAAUCUGAUGAGCUAAUUGUACAGACUCUGCUUCAUAAUGCUUACUACUUGACAUGUGAAAUCUCUGAGCAACUGGGAGUUGCGUUUGUUUGCUUAUCAAAUACUCCUACCGCAGCUUUAUUAAACAGGUUAACAAUCUGUUAAACAAAAUUUAAAAGUAGAUUAGCAUCUAAAUACAUCAUUUAAUGGAAAAAGUUUUGACUCGAAUGUAAAACUAUCUUUUAGGUUCACCUGCUUAGAUGAGAGACCUAUUUUCUCCAAAUCGCUCAGCUGAAACAUGACAUAUUCAACUUCAGAAUUACUGUGUUAAAUGUAAUUCAAAGUUCAUUUCACUGAGUUUUGCUUACCGAUUUUAAAGGGCUCGUUUCUCUGAGCUCAACUAUGUAUUCAGCCAUUUUGACACCUAUUCCCUGAAGGAUACACAAAAGAGAGAGAAUUUCAGAAGGCAGCAAAUCAGUUUUAAGAACACAAAUAUGUGCUGUUUGUUUGACAUGAACCUUCAACUCCAGUAGCUCCUCCCUGCAAUUAACAAAAAAACAGUCAAAUUUCAUUUGUACAAUUGAGUGUUUAAAAAAAAUUGAAAGAAAUGAAAAUGAGGAUAUUUUGAAAAGACAAUGAACCGUUACCUGUUGGCUGUAUUCAAGAAAUCAAUAUACUCUUUAAGCAGGACGUUCUGUGAAAUAAGAAACAGAGAGAUGAGGAUCACAUAUUCAACAGCUUAAACUUAUGGAGUUAAAAGUAACAAUUGUACCUUUAAGUUUGACCCACAAGCAGUGAAUUUAUGAAGUGGGGUGCGUGUUUUUUGACUUCUAUUGUUCCUCUCCGGAGGAGUUUUUGGAGUCUCUGGCUCAAAGAGAAGGGUGCAAUCUCCAUUUGUGAAUAAGGGUUCAAUGAGGGGCUUUUGCUUUAUAUUGGUGUUGAGAGGAGAGAGAGCUUUUCUUAAGGAACUUCGUAGUGUGCUUUUCCUCUCACUGACAGGUGAUGAGUCGAAAUUGUUGGCAGAGCUUUCCUCCUGGUUUGAUGCCUCACCUAUGCAGAUAUCAAUAUAGAAGCUAUUAAUAUUUCAAAUAACUAAACAUGCAAAAAUAAGACAACCAUUCAAUUUGUUCAGGGUAUUUGAAGCAGCAUAGCAAGUAAACAAUUCAUGCAUAGCUGAAAAAUACCGGGUAAACUUGUAUUUGAUUCCAAUACAGAUUCACCAGCUACAGCAUUGCCCUCUUCUUUAUCACCAGCUAAUUGCAGACUCUGAAAAGCAAUUCAGACUCAUAAAUACAAUGACAUAUAAUAUGAAGCGCAAGAUAACUAACUUGGAAUGCAUUUAGUAGCCUUUCAUUCCCAUGUGGAGCUACUAAACUAGAACUUUUUUCUAAGUUGUUAGCCAAUUAUAAUUCCCAAUAAUGUGAAAACCACAGUUACACAAUACAUGAUAGAAUGAGAAUGAUAAUCAAUGGGAGUUUCCUUAUUAAAUAGUAAUUACCUCCAAAUUAGAAUCUACGGUGCUUUCAUUAUAGAAAAUGUUCCUGAAAGGCACAGUGAUUAUCCUGCAAAAAAUUUUAACCAAUCAGGCAAGAGAGAGUAGUACAUAGCAUAAGGAUGUUCCAUUCAACUAGUUACUUGUACCUUUCUUUGGCAUUACAGGUGCUUCUGUUAGUCAAAACCUUGGCUUUCACAGAGCUGAGGUUGAUGGUGGGUUUCUUGACAUUGGCAAAAGAACUUGGAGUUUUCCCCAACAAGGGAGAAUUGAAUGCUUGAAUUCUUUGUGCACUCUUUGUCUUUCCUCUUGAUUCAAGCCAAGCACGAAGUUUGGCUUCCAUGUCAACUUUAACCUUUGGAGUCUCUUGCUUCUUAGCUGAACGAACAAAAUUGGUGAUGUGGCGUGACCGAGCUGCCAGGCUGACAGUAUGAACAGACUCCGGGUACUCUCCUGGAUUCUAUUAUCAAAGAAAAAUGGAUUACAAAUAAACCACCGAAAAAAAAAAUACAAGUGACAGGCCAGACCAAGGCAUUGCUAACUCAAACUCCUUACCAAGCAAGCAACCAUCAAAGCCUGACUCAUCCCACCUAGUGAGUCUUGCAAUAUACGAGUCAAUUUACUCUCCCUAUAGGGAACUCGGGAUAAGUUGUUGUUCAAUGCAUAAAUGACAUUAGACAAGGCAAACAAGGACUGGUUGAUCUUUGCACUUUCUUGUAGACGAAUCCCUUCGUUGCAAGUUCUUCGAUUAUCUUCAUUGCCUGUUUGAAGUACACAUGUGGAUUAAAUAUGAGAAGACAAAAACCAUAAACAAACUCAAUUCCCUAGUGAAUUUCACCUUACUUAAGCUACUGGAAAAAGGUUAGGAAUACGAAAAAGACCUGCUAAGUCUAUGAGAUUCAACUUCCCAGUAACAGCCGCAGAACCAUCAUCCCAAGGAGUGGAAACGGCAAUCACAAGGACCCCAUGGCUCCUACUAGAAACAUCAUUCAGACCUGUAUGUGCGAUUCUCCGCCUCUGAAUCCCACAAGAAAAAGCCUCAUAAAACUCAUCCAUGGACUUUACAGGGACCCGAGAGAGUCCCCUAAGAUGAAUCUGCCCAUCUUUGUCAUCCAAAACCGCAAUUUCCUUGGCUUUGAUCUCUAACAGGUCAUAACACCUGUCCAUAUAGACCUCGUAGUAUGAAAUUUCAACUGUGCUUCCUGUGCACUGGCACAUAGACAUGAUUGUGGACAUGGCCAGCGGCAUUAGACCCGGCAUCUCAUCUGUGCCCUGACACAUCAAUCACAUGCUGAAUUAAAUACUGCGGAAGAAAAUUCUUCAAAACAAAGACUUGAAGCUGCAUUUAGUUACUUGGGCAACACAAAAAAGUUUAUAGACAACUCUACCAUAUAAUUCAGAAUUUUCAUUUUCUUAAGGGAAAAGUAGAAAUGAAGUUCAGUACUUCAUUGAUCCUAAUACAAAGAUUUGAAAUUUUUUUGGGGCCAACCAAUGCAUUGAAGUUUCCACAUUCAUAGAAAUGUCUAUGAUUAACCAAAUUAAUGCCCUCGUCAAACUUAAAUGCCUUACUAAUGAGGGAAAAAACACUGAACCCAACAAAACUUUCAUCUUUUUGGAUAAAUCAAAUUCAAACCUGCAUAGUGUAAGUCUUUCCACUGCCGGUAGCUCCAUAGGCAAACACCGUAGCAUUGCAGCCAUGAAAGAGUCCUGGAAUCAAAGGGCUCACUUCUCUGUAGAAGAUCCGACCAACAUUGUUGUCCUCUUGGGCAAAGAAAGAGUCCAACCGGUAACACUCGUUUCGGCUACACCCAGAAAACCAAAAAUAAUCCAUAAUUCAAAACCCAGCUUCCAAAAAAAGAUAAAAACCCAAUAAAUUUCUUCGAAUUAUCUGACAGAAAAUUAAGAAAAUCCCUCACCUUGAUUCUUUAUCUUUGAGAUAAACAACCACUUCCUCAGUAGAAGACUCACAUUCUUGUUCAAUUACUGAAACACACGGCGUCUGAUCUCCGUUAUUGGCAGCGAUCUCGUGGGGAAGAAAAGGACGAACCCUCACAAUGACCCUGACCUUAGAACUUGAAUUGGGGUUCAUGGCUUUUGCUGGAGUUGCAGAACUAUCUAGAACUAGACCACUCUCCAUUACAGAAGAAAAAUCUAGCUUGAUUGAGCUUGAGAGAAAGAGAGAGACUGGGGAGUUGAAUUUGCAGAGAGAGAGAGAGAGAGGAGGGAAUUGUAACUGAAAGCAGUAGAUUAGAGGGAAGAAGAAGGUGGUUUUGAAACUAAUUGACAAUACCGUUGGUAGAGACAGAACAAAAAAGCUUGGGCCUCGCUUUUCUAGUUUGAAUUUGGAUAUGGGGAGCAAACUUGCCGUUGGGCCUGUGGGCCCCACUAUUUUCUAUAUUAUUAAGUGCGCCCCUAUGGUCAAAAUUUGAAUUACCAAAAACUUGGAGGAUCUGCCAGCAGGCGGCCUAAAUGCGUUAAAGGGUUUAAGACAGAGGCUAUAAACCCUAAAACCCCAAAAUUGUUGGAAUCAAAGACGAAGAUGGACAAAGGCAUGCUGGCAGCGGACUUGGAGGGUCUUCCUGAAGAAGAUAAGCAUAGAAUGGCCACCUUGAUCGACCAGCUUCAGAUUCGUGACAGGUUUGUGUGACUUUUUAUGUAUAAAAUAUUUGUAAAUAUAUGUUUGUGCUUUGUGAAAAUGGAGUGUCUUUGUCUAUUUCUUGUUCUUGAAAUAGUGAAUUUAUUAAUUUAUAUCUAGUGAGACAUUUUCUGAUAUGGUGCAUGGUAGAUUGAAAUCUUAGAGAAAUACCAAUCAUGAAGAACCCACAAGAUGAAUUUAUUUAUUUAUUUUGCAUAAUUGUGUAUUGAAAAUAUGGAAUGAGGAUGUAAUUUCAGUGUAAUAAGUACAGGUUUGUAUACGCAGAUGAUGAUUAUCAUGAGUUAUAAUUAUGAAGUCUCUGGUUUCUGUUAUGUUUGUCCAAAAUUGCAGCCUGAGGAUGUAUAAUUCAUUGGUGGAGAGAUGCUUUACUGACUGUGUAGACACCUUUCAGCGCAAAGCCCUGACCAAGCAAGAGGAUUCUUGUGUUCGUAGGUGCGCCGAAAAGUUCCUUAAGCAUUCGAUGCGCGUUGGCAUGAGAUUUGCAGAGCUUAACCAAGGAGCAGCAACUCAAGAUUAAGCUAAGCUCCGUAUGAAUCAUCUUUGGCAUGGAAAUCUUAUAAACCUUUUGAAUUGGUUUAUGACAGGUGCAAUUGGUUUACCCUUGGUUUUAGAAUUAUGCUUCUUACAUUGAUUGGAUUUGUACCCUUAUAAAGAAGAAACUUCUUGUCAGGUUUUACAGUUUAGCUGGAUAUGAAUCAGUUGCUAACUUAUUACAUAUAAAUUUUGUUCCAUUUCCAUAUGUUCUUGGAAAGGCAUGAACAAAAACUUUUGCCCCUUUUCCAUAUCAGAUUGUGUGACUUUACAAUAAGAGAAGCUGGGUAACUAGGUUUGUGUUAUCAGCUUGAUUAGCUUGCUAGCUUUCUCUUUUGUUUCCCUUAAAUUAUACUUUAUUUGGGACAGUGAUCUUGACAGUGAACCAACCAAGUGCUGCUUAUUGUUCACAUUAGUUUAGAGUACAAUUGGUUGGUAAAAAAGAUUUGACUUCUGAGCUUUGGCACGAAGGCCAAAGAUGACAGAGGCCAACAUAUGAUUGAGAAUUGUCUUGAGGUGCAGAGCUUGAAUUGAAUAUGCUGUGAUAUAUGGUCAAUUCUGUGCUUGCAUACUUUUACUUAGUUUUUCAACCAUGUAAGAUUGUUCCAAAUCAGAUUUUUCAUCCAUUUUUAUUAAUGGAACACGUUACAUAAGGCAUCAAUUACUGUCCAAAUUAUAUCUUUCAUUCAAUGUGGUUCAUGAGAUUUAAACUUAUGAUAUUUUUUCAACAAAAUUAAAAAUGAGUGUCUCAAAUGAUGGUUGGCAAUCUUGUCGUCGGUUUAGUUCCUAUUAUUUGAUUAUAUUCUCUCUCUUUUUUCAAGUAUUAUUUGAUUAUAUUCACCAAACUCAAAAGAGCAGCAAAACUAACGGGCCCAAGAAAACAAAACUAAAACGAACAAAAAUUGCUCGACCAAUUUGCAAUCAAACCCCUAAAACAAUUCAUAAGCUUAAAUGAGCACUACUACCGUCACUUGAAGCAACACUACCAUCAAAGAUGGUCUCAAGCAGGUUGCAGCAAACUCCGUCAAAUGUGUAGAACUAGUUAUGGGAAUCAAACUACAAUUUAGACAAAAAAUACUAUACAGUUCGGAUUUGAUUGUCGAUGAAGUAUGAAAAAGAAAAAGAAAAUGGUCAAGUUCAGGGUUUUCCCGCCAACCAACGGUCCAGAUCAAUGAGAAUAGAAACAAUCAUAGCACAGAAAGACAAAGACCAUCAGGCACCGUACACUAAGCCAUGAUCUGACGUUCCAGCGAACAUUAAUACCCUAUUUAUUAUAGUUAAACGUUUCUUUCCAAACAAAACCCACUUAAACCACGAGCUAUUUAUGUCCAAUCCUACGGUCCGAAAAUGCCCGCGAAGCAAGCCGCCCAUCCAACGGCUCCAAACUCGUUCGAUAUUUAACAAAGAGCCUAGAGUGCCGUUUGAGGUUCAAACUUUUGGUUUUGGUCCCCUAACGUUCUGGAUGAACCGUCAACCGCCGUUAAGUGAUAGGGUUUUCUAAAGCUCACAAAAACUCAAAGCCCUUUCGAUAACGGUAAUUAACGGAGACGUCGGUGCAUAUAUAUUCGUUAUAAAUUUAUAAUAGUUUUUAUUAUUAUUUCCUUUUAACCUCUGUUUCUUUCUCUCUCUCUUCGUUUCAACGGGCGAGGAUUUUUCGAAACCAAAAAGCUCCCUUUCAUGUUUCAGAGAAGAGGCUUCUGAAAUCUGUUCGCCUAAUCGAUGAGCUCGAAUUCGAUUCCCGCCACUUCUUCACAAGCAUGGGUACUCUUACUUUCAGAAAAUGGUUUUUGUUUCUUGAAAGAAAAAACUUUUCUUCUUCCUAUUUUGUUGAUUUGCUUUCAUGUUUUUUCACUGGUCUCGAUCAAGUUUCCACGUUUUCUUGGACUUCAAGUUGCUCCGAUUUGUGCUGGAUUUAUUUGGGUUUUGGAUUUAAGUCUUGUAAUUCUCUUUAAUUUGCGUUUUUGUAACAGUUUUUUGAUCUGGAAACUCUUUUUAAGAUCUGGGUCUUGCUUGUCUGGGUUAUGGCGGUGGGAUUUUUAAGAUUUUGGAGUAAAUUUAGGGUCUGUUUUAGGGUUUUUAGUGUUUAUGAUUCGUUUGAGGGGUUAUUUUUGAAGGGUUUUGUUUUAUGUUUGUGUGUUAUGUAUCUAAUUAUUGAUUAGGAUUUUGAAUUUUGGAGAUUAUUUAUAGGAAGAGAUGGAGGAGGUAAAAUUAGAAGAGUGUUGCCUUGAGAAUAAGCAAUCAACGGCUGCUUCCAGCUCGUCUGUGUCCGAAGGCAGUGGCAGUGCUAUUCUCAAGUCCCCAGGGGUUUGCAGCCCAGCAUCAACUUCUCCGACUCACCGGUACUCUCCCUUAAUUCCUAACAGCUGUAAUUUAGUUACAACUAUAGUGAUGUUCUCUGUUUAAAAAUCAUUCUCUUCAUAACCGGGAUUAAAUUAUGAAUGUGAUGUUUAUUUUAGGUUUCACGCAUUUGCUUUUAGACCUUUUAAUUUAUGAUUCUCAAUGAGUGUUUGGAUCCUCAUCUACUGGAAAAUGGAUAUGCUGAUCGAUUUUUGUUGUGAUCAUUUUUCAUUGUUUAUAAUUAUCAUCAACAGUGUUGUGGUUAGUGAACUGAAAUAUGUGAAUUUGAUCUUUCAGGAGGACUAGUGGUCCUAUUAGGCGAGCCAAAGGCGGUUGGACUCCACAGGAGGUCAGCAUUUCAUUCUGUACUUGUGUUCACUUCUUUGUAAUAUCAGCUAGAAGCAUGAACAUUUUUGUGUUUGUUACUAGCACAUUGAAGGGAGAGGUUCAUCAUUGUCAAUCAUCAAAUCAUCUAAUUUGGAAAGGCCUGAAACUGUCAUUUCUUUUAGACUUUCUGGUUUUAUUACUUCUGUUUUCAAUAAUGUACACCGUCUCUAUCUCACCCAUUUUCACAUGUUGCUGCUUAGAUACAUGCUCUUAUGUUUUCUAAGCCAUAACUCUUUUUGGUGCGUGAUUUUAAUUUGCAAUAACAUGUUGAUUGGUCACAGGAUGAGACAUUAAGGAAUGCGGUUGCAGCUUUUAAGGGGAAGAGUUGGAAGAAAAUAGGUUUGUCUCUGUCCUGAUUUAUGUUGUGUAGUUGCAAAAUUUCAGUUGUUAUGGUGCUUUUAGGUAGCAGUGAGUCUGCUCAGGCAAUGUGCUCCCGUAACUUAAUGAGGUCUUUUAAAUGGUAGAGAUUUUAAUAAACUUAAAGAAAUCUUAUUUUGGCUGAACAAUAAGAAUAUAUUCAGAGCUCUAAAAAUUCAAAGCAAACCAAUCAUAUGACAUAGAUGGACUCCCAGUAGACUGGGUAACUGUUCGUUCAAUCCACUAAUUUCUGUUCUACCUAUGUUGUAAAUUACCAAAAGGGGGUAGAACAGUAUAUAAAUUACACACACGACUAGAAACCUAGUCUUGGCUGUAUUACCGAGUAUUUUAUUUGUUGUCAUAUUAUGCUUAAAUUCAGGCAACUAAUCUAAUAUUUGGAACAAUGUGUAUGCAGCUGAAUUUUUUCCUGAUAGAUCGGAAGUGCAAUGUCUGCAUCGGUGGCAGAAGGUUCUUAAUCCAGAUCUUGUUAAAGGACCGUGGACUCAAGAGGUUGGAACCUGAUACCAUCCUUACUUUUUGUGAUCCUUUCUUGUAGUUUACGUUGAACUUUCUUUAACUUGUUUGUUUUGUAGGAGGAUGAUAAAAUCAUUGAAUUGGUAGCAAAGUAUGGACCUACAAAAUGGUCGUUAAUAGCUAAGUCUUUGCCCGGCCGUAUAGGGAAACAAUGCCGGGAGAGGUAACCUUAAUAAGUUUAAGUCCUUAUGUUGUUGUCAAAUGCGACCCUGGAACUCUUGAGCACUAUAAUGCUGAUCUGAUCUGUUUCAUGUUCCUCUUAAAAUGAUCUUUUUCUUUCUUUCUGGAAUUAAGAUUUAUUCUUUUUAUUACCUUUAGUUUUGUAUGACUCUGAUGCUUUAUGCAUCAAUGUUAUUCCUUCCAUUGGCUUUUAUCUUCCAAUCGAUUUCUUCAUGAAAAGCAAAUAAAUGGUUUGGGCAGUGUAUACACUUGUAAACACAAUGGAACAAAUUUUUUUUUUUAAAAUACAGGUGGCACAAUCAUUUGAAUCCAGACAUAAAGAAGGAUGCUUGGACGUUGGAGGAGGAAUUAGCACUUAUGAAUGCCCAUCGGAUACAUGGGAACAAAUGGGCUGAAAUAGCUAAGGUUUUACCUGGAAGGUAUCUUUCUUUCUUGAUUUUUUAUUUAUGAAUGGCGUUGAGGUGCUAAAUUAGGGCAACAUUGAGGUACAUGUAUUUUGAAAAUCAAGUUCUUUGGUAUUAUUGUGCGUAUGUACUGUUUACUAAGUCAAAUUUUGUAUAACUUUGUGUUUGUAGGACUGAUAAUGCAAUAAAGAAUCAUUGGAAUAGUUCCUUGAAGAAAAAAUUAGAUUUCUAUUUGGCUACUGGGAAACUUCCACCAGCUGCAAAGAAUGGUUCCCAGAAUGGUGCCAAAGAGACAAGUAAAUCCACUGCAACUAAAAGAUUACUUGUUUGUUCAACUAAAGGAUCAGAUUCAACUGCUCAGACAUCAUCUGGAAAUGCAGAUGUAUGUAAGCUAGAUGAAGAUGGCAAGGAUCAGUUCGAGUCCUCCGCCCCACAUCAGGAUUUGGGUGCUUCAUCAAGUGUUCUUCCAAAUGAGCCUGCUGAUUCUGAAGGUGUAGAAUGUCAGCUGAGAUCAUCCUUUAGAGAUCUUAGUUGCUGCAACUCAGAGUCAGGGUCAAAGUUUGAGAAUUUUGCAGUAAACAGCAAGCCCCAGAUUGAGAGUAUCAUUAACAGCCAGGCAGAGUCUGAGAAUUGUGGAUUUAACAACCUAGUAGAUGAAGACAGAGUUAAGAGAACACCUGUGCCAGUUGAAACUCCAGGCUACGGCUCUUUGUACUAUGAACCACCGUUAGAAAGUUGUGGUCCAUUUGAUUCAGGUUUUUCAAGCAUGCGUUGCUUUCAACAUGAUUACGCUUCUAGUCCAAAUGUAUCACCUAUAAGUUUCUACACUCCGCCUUGUGUGAAGGGCAGUGGUUUAUGCAAUCGAAGUCCUGAAUCAAUUUUGAAAAUGGCUGCCAAGACCUUCCCCAAUACUCCUUCCAUCUUGCGAAAGAGAAAGAAUACUUCCCAAGGACAUUUGCCUCCUAAUAAAAUUGGGUUGGUGGAUUGUGAAUCAGUCAGGGAAGUGCUUAAUGUUUCUGAUGAACAGGAAAGACACAAAAACAGUGCGGAAAUGUCUGGGUCUCAAGAAGAAAGUUUGUGUGAGAGUCCAACCAGUCAAGGUAUCAGCACCAUUGGGCCUAAUGGUAAGGCUUUUAAUGCAUCUCCUCCAUACCGGUUAAGAGCCAGGAGGACUGCUGUUUUCAAGUCUGUGGAGAAACAACUUGAGUUUACAUGUGACAAAGAGUAUGAUGGUAAUUCUAAAUCUGUGGAGUUGUCUGCAAAUGGAGGCUCUGGUGUUAUCAAAGAUUGUUCUCAUGCAACAAAGAUGGAAGUGACCUAGGGCAUGCACUGUAAGUUACAGUUUUGCUUAUCAUUGUUCUUGAAAUCUUUUUUUGGAACUGAUAUAGGUUCAUGCUUGGUAAAGCUGUCUUUUAUAUUUUACUUGAGGAUGGAAACUGGAUCUGAUCAUGUCUCUGCAUGGAGGAUCUAUGUAUGACAUAUAAUUGCUUGGUCAAGUGGUGAAUUAUUUAUGAUUAUAGCUUAUCCAGUUGUUGAAUUUUGUCCUACCAUUAGAUUUUUAAUAACACACCUGACAUGAUACUUAAAUGCAAAGAUGACAAGCUUGCUGAGGAUAGUGCAUAGAUGUUUUAGUUUUCUGAUAAAGGAAUCAAAGUUGUCAUUCUUUGCAUUAUGGAUAUUAAGAGUUGGAUCUAUUUCCUUCCUCAUUCUUUUCAUUUUGUAGCCUUUGUUGCCAAAGUUAGAAAAGAGCCAAACAAUCUUGCCGCCUUUGUUAGAGUAAAGUUACCAUUAGAAAAGAUUUGUGAAGAUCCUAAGUCUCUUCAAUAUUGGUGGUACAGAAUCCAAAGUGAUAGAUAAGUGGAAAUGUGAAACUUUCUUUUGUUUAUAUGAACUGAUGAAGUAAACUAUCUCCUAGAUAGUGGUGAAGGAAUUUGUGUACUUGAAGUUGUUUUUAUUUUCCUGGUUAGUGAUGAAAGAAAUAGUGUUUGCAUAUUUUCUCACUGUAUCUGCUCUAAAUAUUCACUUUCUUUAAGCCCUUUUCUUUCGGCCUGCUAUUGGGUUCAUCAUUGAAAUAGCGAUGGAAUGAAGCAAUAGGCAAUUUCAAAUAAGUUUCUGAUUUGGUUUCCUCUGUUAUUAUUCAGGUACAAAGGAGGGUGAUUCUAUUGAAGUUGGCUGACACUUUUGAAUUGGUGAUAUUUCCAAGUCUACAGAGCUCUUUUGAAAAGCAAUUUAUCGAUUUAUCAGACCACUCUCUGGUCUCGCAUCUUGGAUGCCAUACAAUUCAUUAACUUGCAAAUACACCACCUGAUCGUUACAUUGGAGGGGUUUUUCAGCACAGCAACUUGACAAAAUACAGUGGCAGUGGGCUUCUGUUUUGUGUAGAAUAAAAAUGAUAGGCCCCAAUACUUGUGAAAAUAUAUUGCUUGUACAGAAAACCCAUCAGCAAAGGAGCAAUGAUGCUUUAUGCUUGAAAAUUCCCUUAAUGAAAGCGUAGCUCCAGUCAUCUGUUUGGUUCUUUACCAAUUUUAACUUUACUACCUUCACACACACGUAUUCUUUAGAAAUCUUAGUAUUGUUCUUUAUGGCGCCAACUCUUUUUGUCUCCCAUUUUCCUUGGGCAGUGGAUGUGGGAAUUUUCAUUAUCUUGAUAAGUUUGUUUUGUACAUAGAAGGAAAGCCAAAUUGUUAAUAACCAAUUUUUUAUUUUAUUUUUAUACAAGCAAUAUUUUACUUUAAUCUAAUCUAAAUUAUGAGGAGAGAGAUUCAAACUCGGUUGCAUAGUGGGGAGCACAUUCGUUCUAGCCAACUUGACUAAGCUUAUGUCUGCUGUCAAUGAACAUUUAAUCCAGUGCACUGAGUCUCCCCCCUAUUGAAGGAUCUCUCAUGUACGAUUAUGUUAGAUUUAGAAAAACAAAACUAAAAAAGAAGGAAACUGGGUUGCAAAAUUAGCUUAAUAGGAUGUACAACGAAAUUCAAAGGCUUAUUUAUUGAUAUGGCCCUUGUGCUUUCAAAAUAGUCUCAGAUUACCAUAUGUUCUUUGAAAUGUCUCAAUAUAUCACCUAUACUUUCAAUAAGUGUCUCACGUUAGCUAUUCCGUCAGAUUUGAGAGAAGUUCCUUUAGCUGAUGUGGGGAUUUCAGAUUUGGGAGAAAAUGGGGAAUUUGAUUUGGGGAUUUCAGAUUUGGGAGAUGAAGGAUGGUUUGAUUUGGGGAUCUCUCAAAUCUGAAAUCCCUAAAUCAAAUUCCUAAUUUUCUCCCAAAUCCCUAAUUUUCUUCCAAAUAUGAACCUCCAGAUUCCCAAAUCUAAAAUUCCCUCAAACUAAUAUUCUUCCCCCAAAUUCCCCAUUUUCUCAACCUGACUAACCCUUCCUCUCCCUUGUUAAGAGAUUGAAAAGAAGUGGGGGGCAUAUCAGCUAACAGAACUUCUCUUAAAUCUGACGGAAUAGCUAACAUGAGACACUUAUUGAAAGUAUAGGUGGUAUAUUAAGACGUUUCAAAGAACAUAUGGUAAUCUGAGACUGUUUUGAAAGCACAAGAGACAUAUCCAUAAAUAAGCCAAUUUCAAAAGAAGCAACUUUCAGAAAACUGUGAUGAAAACCCCAAAAUCGAAGCCAAAUCGCGCAACAGUUAUCAGGCUAGAAGACGCACAGUAUAUGAUUGUGCCAAAGAAAGUAUGCAAUGAAAGGUGCAAAGAUUUCUUCAAUUUUCCUUUUUUUAAUACUAUUUAUAUUACUAGAUAGGUGUCAGAUGCUUAUAUUGGUAGACUGAAUUUGUCCGUCAUCAGAACGACAAUAUUUGUCCAGCAAAGAAAAAAAAACUUUGAACAUGAACAUCGGAGAAAAGUUGACCAGCAGUUUUAGGCCUUUUAAGGGACAUUUGCAAUGCAAUUACUAGCCUAAACUUGAAGGCAAUUCUUUUUAUUUUCAAACUAUUAGCUUUGGCAACUAUAUCAAAGGAUUUAUCACCAAGCCCAACUGAAACAUUUUGAAAUCUCUCGUAACAGCUCCAGAAGUCACUCCCCCUCCUUCCCCUCCCCCCCUCAGCUCUCUGAUAAUUAAAAAGAAUGUAAUAACAAAACAAUAAAUAACGCCACAAGGUGAGGGAGAGAGAGCAAGAGGGGUGGACUGAGUUCCUCUCCAUGCAAAUGCCACUCUACCCUUAACCAGUGGCUCGUGACUGAUGUUAUAAAAUAUCUAUGUACAACCGUUUCGUGAUGACUCCACAACCCUGUAUGUUGCCAGGCUUCAGCCUUGAGCAUCAUAUUGAACUGUACAACCAUUAAAAUAAAAAACAAAUGGAACAACCUGCCGACAGAUGGUCUUCCCUUGGAACCAAAUUUUCAACAUGCGGAGAGGAAAUCCAAGCAUCUGCCAACGUAGGUGGACAAGAUAUUUAGUAACAGUAGGAAAAUAAUCUUUAACAAGCAAACUAUAGAAGUAAGGCCACAGGCAAAGAGUAAAAUGUAGUCGGAAAUUUUAUAGCGUUCCAUAUUGUUCAGAACUUUAGUUUAAAACAUAGCCACUAACCUCAAUGUGCGGUAAACUGGACCAUUAAUGCAAGGUGCAGAUUUAUUGUCAGAACUGGAUAUCCUCUGUUACUAUCAAGAAUCCUUUGUCAUCCCCUGACAUAAAUCUGUGUCACGAUAUAUACCGCCUGAGAUGCCAAACUAGAAUAUUCAGCAACUUGAAUAAAAUGAACACACACCAUGACUUUCAUGAUUGCCUUUACCUUCAAAUCUAAACUAAACCAUGAAGAAAGAACCAAUAGUAGUUUGCCCAAGAACCUUGGAACUUUGAUCAAGACCAUGAGAAGCAACCUGCCACGCAAAACAUAAACUAUUUACCAUAAAACUAAACGCUACCAAGAAUAUUUUUCAAUUGGAACGUAUAAAUUAAGUAUGCUUCUUUAUGAAAACACAGAACAGAACUGCUCAGUUUCAACAUAACACCGUUGUCAGGUUUGCCACGACAAUGUCAUUGAUGGUGGGGGUGGGGCAAAGGGCUACAGGUGGAAGGGAGGGGCGUGAGAGGGAGGGCCAAAGUUUUUAUUCAACUUUUAAAUGAGUGAUAUGUAAGUUAUUUGGAAGAAGAAUUUACCUAUAAAUUACCAUAAGCAACUGUUAAGUGGCAACGAAUUUCAACAUUUAGGUAAAAUAUGAUGCAAACUUAAAAUGUAGCAAAAGAUUCUCACCAAAUAAGUUAAAGCUGCAUAGCGUUCGUCAUUCAAGUACAGCGGCUUUCCUCUUUGCAUUUCAACAUCCUGAAUUUUUUUUUACAAUAAUACAGAAACAUAUAGACCCCUAUAAAUCAAUGAAUGCAAAUAGGAACAAAAACAAGAACAGAAGCAUCCACAGUUACUUCUUCCAACUUCUUCAUUUUUUUCGUAGGCAUUUCUGCAUUUUAUUCAGAGAAAGAAAAACAUAAUAACCGUGUGCAAUAAAGAAAGGGGGAAAUGUCUAAACAUCCAGCAAGGAGCUCAAUUAACAAAGGAAUUAUGUCCUCUUAAAUGCGUAAUCAAUUUAGCCUUCUUUUGCUUCAUUCUAUCCUGUGAAACUCUAAAGUUCUGGCCAUAAAUUACACCAUCCAUAUUAUUUUGUCAUUGCAAAUUGUUUACGAGGGAAGAUGUUAAAAGAAACAGAAGAACAGAAUUUCUGUGUGAUUUACUAUAGUAGAAACUAGUUACCUCUUCCCCAAAAGCAUCCAAGUACGGUGAUGGCCAGGGAGCUUGCCGCGCACAUCUUUGUAGCAGAAUUGUUGUCCUCUAAUAGCAAAGAAAAUUAACCAGCUCCAUAAACAAGAAAAGAGGUAAAAAUAUAACUUACAAGAUUUAAGAGACAGCUGCGAAACAUAACUUAAAAAAAUUUAAAAAAAAAACACGAACUGCAAUGCAUACCCUGAUCAACAGAAAUACCCCAGUACCAGAACCACAGGCCAAUGCAUGAGUUUGGCAUCCACUUUCCCUAAAGAUACAAUGUCAAAUUUAGCAAUAAUGGGCAGAGCAACGCCCCAACGGGGCAUAAACAUGUAUGCACCUAGAGGGAUACUUUUCUUAAAAAUAAUGACAAAUAUUGGUGAAAAUAUACAUACCGGCAGCAUGACUUCCAGCUUGGAGAGCAUAAUCUCCCACAAAGCAGGCACAAUGCGGGGUCCUCAAGGAUGGAUUUGCAAUCAGGACAACGCUGUUUAAUAUACCUAAAAAAACAAAUCUUUCUGAAUGAGUUUAAAUUCUCAAAAGUUUGUUUGUUUGUUUGUUUGUUUUUUUUUUUAAUAAUUUAAAAAGAACAAGUACUCCAGCAUCAAAACGAGAAGCAAUUUAACCAACCUCUGCAAAAGGUCCUGGUAAACUCGGGGCACACGCAUCAACUGGAAGGGAACUGCAGGAUUACAGUGUAUGCUUCCUCUAAAUCUUUGGACUUCAAACUCCUUGCAAAAAUGACGGAACCAUUUCUGAACCAUUGAACGCACCACUUUAUCCUUAAGAAUAACAUCAAGUGUAGGAAUCUUGAACAUUCUUUCUAUCUCCUGAACUUCAUUGAGCUCUACCAGCGCCACAUAAGUGGUAUCCAUCAUGUCACCAAUGUCAUGAGAUCUAUCCAACACAUUAUACCUUUCGAAGAAUGGUGCUUGGGCAUUAUAGUUUAGUAAAUUCAACAGCAAUGCACACCUCCGCAAAUAAGGGAAACUCAAGCUACGAACUAUGUUCUUAAUAUUACUGUUACAAGAAGAGCCAACAUAGUUUGAAACAAAAUAUUGCUGCGGGCAUCCAGAUUCUCCCAUGAGUUUAGAGACGUCGGUAACCAGACAAUCAUCAACACCUAAUUUACUCAUAUCGCAUUGAUUUUUCCCAAGAUAUGCAAUUAUACCCUGCAUUCACCAUAUUGGAUUAGGCCACUAGAUGAUUAUAAUGGAACCCAAGCAUCAACCAAAUAAUAAAAGGAGAUAAUUACAGAUAACGUACCUGAACUACAGAGACAACAUAGAAUAAGUGCACCAGGGAUAACAAGGAAUCUUCACAUGAUAAAAACCGGUUUGGCAGACAAAAAAGAACCCACAUCAAUGAUGAAAAAGGAUCACGAGCAAGGACAGGAUCAGAUGCUCUAUUCCAGAACUGAAUAUCAGGAUAUGAUACGGCCAUAUCAACAUGUUCCAAGAUACGCAACAUGGCCCCUGUAAAACAUAGCAUGGAUUAGGAUUUAAUGACUUGUAAGAGUGGAAUAAAUCAGGAAUCAAGAUGACUUGUGAUAUACAAAUGCCUGAACUUAUAUUGUUUUUGGCAAGCAUAACACGUAAAAUUUUGCGCACAUGAAACUGUAACAAGUAUUAGUCCCUUCGGUAGCUUUGAAUAUGAUCCAAGAUAUCAAUCAGCCGCAACAUUAUAAUAAGAAAGGAUGGUGCUACUUAUCCCAAAUUUUCACAACUUCUUUCCAACCUAUGUAGCACUUGAUAUAUACACGGCAUCAUUGCAUUAAUAAAACAACAAUGUUGUAGAACCCAAUGUGAGAAUGCCAUGUAAGUUGGAUAGAAAGAGUUUGGUUCCAUAGCAUUACCGAUCAUCUCAAACUAUUAUGUUUUAAAUUCAUGUUUCAAUAAAUAAAUAAAAAAGGAAGUAGACGAUAACUCAUUAAAUUUAAUUCUAACUGCAUGCGAUUAGUGAAUCAGAAAGCAAGAAAAGAAAAAAAACUCCACAGAAAGCCACAAGAAACACAUGAAAUAAAUGGCACUUACUGGUAGCAAUAACAUUACCUUGUCCACAUGUUUCGCUACCAUGGUCUAUGGAAACUCCAAAGCAAAUAGAUUCUGCAAAGCUCUGAAUUCCUAUAAAUCUCUGAAGCACAUGAAGAGAAUUCUUACUUUUGCUUUGGACUACUUUCAGCAACAAAGACAAUACAAAUCUACUCGAGGAUUCAAGUUCCUUAUACAAUGCAUUAAGGUCAUAGCUUGGUGUUGCAUAUUUCCCGCCAGAACGUGCAGCAAUUUCAAUUGAUAAUAGGGAGUACUUAAUUGUGUCCCACAUGAGCAUUGGGUGGCUGACCCUGGCAGACCCUGAUAACUUAUCCUGUUUAGUCGGAAAAUACAUCUUACAGAGCAAACGAGAAAUUUCAAGGUUUGAGGUCAUUCUUCCACAUCUCUGCAGGGGAAAACCUUUAAGAUUUCCAACCUUCCCAGAUGCCUUUGCUGCAGAUUGCACAAGAGCCAAGCCUUGCUGAAGCUGAAGAGAAUUAAUUUCUCCACCUGAUUUGACCAAUGGACCAGUAGCAUGUGAUGAACUAACACCUGAAUGCAGAGACUCCUUCGAGACCUUCUCGAACAACCCUGGCAACGCAGGCAACACAGAAUUUGCAAGUCGACGGCAUACAGGGCAGAGAAACUCCCCCUAAGGAGAAAAAGAACAAACAUGCAAAAGAUCAGUAACAGAACCCUCCUCCCUUCACAAGCAAGAAUGAAAAAUGGAAAAAUAUGUAGGCCUUGUACCUUAUCUGGAUCUACAAUAUGUCCUCCUUCAAAAACAAUUCUUCUGAGAUACCUGCAUGAAAAGAUAAGAAGAUGGGGGAAGUUAAGCCCUUUUCACUAGCACGUCAACAUUCUUCCAGAGCGACAUAUAUGAUAUAUGCAUAUCUGACUUUUUUUCUCUUUGGUUGUUGCAUCAUAAGUACAUAACCAUUUAAGCACGAAAUUUAAUUUUUACUAGCAACAAUUUGAUCUGGCAAACUAUAACAUAGCCCUUUUGCUAGAACUUGUCAAAUAAAGAAAUUAAAAAUAAUAAAAAAUAAACUGAAUCAUCAGAAAAUAUCUUAAUACAGUUGUAAUGGAAGUCCAACUGAAUCAGCCUUUUGUCUCCAAUUCAUUUACAUCUAAUUGUGAUUGUCUCUUAACAAAAUAUCUUAAUACAGUUGUUUCAUUAGAUAAAAGAGUGAUAAAGUAACUCUAAAUUACAAAGUAAGGAUUGAAAACUUCUGCUCUUGAUAGGACUUACCUUUCCUUCAGUGAAGAUAAAUAGCGAUCAAGGCAUCCCUGAUGCACAGCAUGCCCACAGGAAGAAAGAUAAAUUCCAUCACAAUCUAUUGGGCCAAAUCCAUCAUAUGCUGAAAGCCGAGAAGAAUCUAUUGGCACCUUUUCAUUGGGACUUUCAGAGGAUGAAGGAUUUUCUGUUGUCUCUCUAGAAAGAGCAGCUGUAUAUUUCCCAAGCAACAUAAAUUCAGCAUGCUCAGUUUUUUCUUGAUCCCCUUCAGGAGUUGAAAAUCCCUUAUCCUCUGUAAGCUUAGAAUGCAGCAUCUUAUCAUGCAAUUCUUUUUGGAUGGAGAGGUACAUGGCGUCUUCCAUUGUCUCAAAUGUACAUAAAGUCUUUUCACUUUCAUCAUUUAAUUCACGUGGCACUUGGAUAUUCUUUAAUUCAUGGAACCGGCCCUUGAAAAAAUCUAGAAGAGCCUCAACAUCCCUAGGUUGCCCAUGACAGGCAAAUUUGGUGAUUGCAUCCUGAACCAACUGUUUUAAAGGGUAAGAUGGUACCACCCCCGAACCACCUGACGAAGAGCUUGUUUCAGAUUGAUCAGUCACCUCACCUUUGAUAAUAGACAUGUGCUCCUUGUUUAUCCAGCGAGGUUGUUCCCAUGAAAGGGGACCUCUGUCCAUGAAAUUCAAAAGCCUAGAUUUCUGAAGAAGAACUAAGUAGGAUAUGGGAUUUCUGGAAUUGGGAUCAUGACAAAGUGAGCAAACAACUUCUGCAGACUCUUCUGAAUCAUCUUCAACGUCAGGAUUACAAACCUCUUGCUCACAUUUUGAGGCAUCAUCCACAGUGGAAUUAACGCUAGCCAUAAAUUUCAAUUGCUCGGCUCUCAUUUUUUCCAAAAUGGCAGCCUGUCUCUCUCUGGCUUUUGCCUUGCGCUUCUCAGAGUCAGAAAUUGAACCCGAGGUAUAUGUGUCACCAUUUGGAGAAGAUUGUAAUACAUGACCAAUUACUUCAGGUGCAAGUAGUUGCAGUUUGGUCAUACAUCCCGAAUCAAUCUCUGCAAACUUCUUCAAUAAGCUUCCAAUUAAAGAAGAGAGGUCACUCCCAGCUUCCAAACAAUUGUCUAAAUUCUCUUUCUUAUGCAUCCUCAUCAAGAUCACAAGAAGUGACAACAAGCUUUGUUGGCCAGCGCCAAAAUGUGGUCCUUCAUAAAUUUCUUCACCAGCAAAAGCGAGUAUGGGAAUUACAUCUCCAUCAUAACAAGACUGAUCACCAGAUUCCUUAUGUUGAAAACAAAUGUCUAAUGCUAAUGAGAGUACGUGCAAUGCAGUUAAAAGAACACCAUCAGGAGCUCGCGAAUCAAUUGAUUUAUCAGAAAAAAUGGCAUAAAACAGCACUGCACGGAUAAUUUGAAGGACUGCUUUAGAAGUGGCUAUUCUAGCAACCCCCUUGAAAGGAGGAUAAAUCUCAGUCCACCUCGGUAGCUGAGUGGUCAAUGCAGAAACGCUACGGAAACGCAAGUAUCUUUCUUCUGCAGCUUGCAGAUCCCUUGAGUUCCAACGAGGGUAGAACAAAUCCAUUUCUUUCCAAAAUGUCCAUCGUAGUGAAUACGUCCCCUGAUUAAAGCCAGAGGGAUUGGAAUAUGCCGCAACAGUAUCCAAAAUUUCAGGAAGCUGAUCAAACUUAGACAGAUCACGAGGAAGAGAUUUAACCAAUUGACUAUGAGUGGCAUCUGCAAUGGCUAAUUUAUGAAUUAACUCUCUUUUCAAACUUUCAGCUUUAGUUAGCCCACAAAAUCUCCUUUCUUUGACUAUUUGUAUAAUAAGAGUUAGCAUCUCCUGCACUAAAACUGCUUCAUAUUCACUUGAGCGCUCAAGGUUCAAAGAAAGGUAGCUUGACAGACCAAAGCGUUUUACAAUUCUAUUAACAUAAAGAUCAGCUGGAGCCAAGGCAGCACAGCACUGAAGCAGAAACAGGUCAAGCUCCAAACCCUGUUCAGACCUGCAAAUAAAAAAUAAAAAAUCAUAAUAAAGGGCCAAUCAUGAAGACAAAGAAAAAAAAAAGCGUGAAUUAAGAAAACCAAACAUGACAAGAGGUACUUUUUCCCCUACAAUGCAUGUGUCAGGUAAGAAUAAAUCACUUACCAGCGAACUGAACGAUACCACUCACAUGAUAAUAGGGCAGCAUCCCCAUUUUUCCGCCAUAUUCCAGCAUGAACCUCAGCACAAAAUACUUUGAUCCGAAGGGGAUGCUCCAUAACAAAGGCAGAAAAUCCAUAUGGGUGGCAGCCUCCUAGAAAAUUUCCAAAGAAGUCAGUCAAAAUAGCUGAAGAUGAAUUUGCAGAAGUAGCACUAGCCAAAUCUGGCACUUCACCAAAACAUCUUCUCAAUGCUUUCUGUAAAAGCAAGGAAAGUAACCGAUGUAAAGGAAUGUGAACAGAUAUAUCCUGCGAACUAAUGUCAUAUGUUAUGUCUGGCCAAUCCGACGAACUCAGAACACGUAAAGCAUCUAAGUCCAUGGCACCAUCUACUUCCAUGGCACUAUCAUCCAAUCCUGCAGGACUACAUGCAUUAACUGAAUCAAUUUCGUCGGGAACCAUUAAUUUGGUUUCCUGGCCUGCACCUUUACCAUUCUGGAAGUCAACACUCAUAUUGCAAUCACUAUGUAAAUGCGAUGAACAUUGCUUGCCAUGAUCUUCACUUGAACUGGCAAGUCUACCAAAUAUAUUGCCUCUCCUGAUCUUGGACAAUGUUUUCUUCAGUGCUGAAAAAUUACUACCUGAGAAAUUGCUAGUACUUGGAGAAGAUGCAUCAAGAAAAGCCCUGGAGGUAUUAUCAACUCCCAGCCAAUUCUCAAUGGCCCUCAAGCACUCAUAGGUUAGCCACAUCACAGAUGGUGGAAUCAACAAAUCAGAAAGAGCGUCUGAUUUAUCUUCUGAAACCUUCGAUGCACAUGCAAAUGAACUACUCCUCCCCACUGCACUGCAUACGGAACUUUCCGGGGACAACCGUCCUACUUUUGCAUGUCUUAGGCUAUCCCUGCCAUCCAUAUCCUGCAAGCCUUCAUCCAUCUUGUCGCUAGCCACAGAAAAUGCCCCAUCCACCAAUAGAGAAUGAAUGUUGGCAAUUGAAUGGCCUAGAACGAAUGGCAGAUGCAUACUCUCAUUUUCUUCUUCGAUGCGGAUGCCUGUUUCCCUUUUUUGUGGAUUCAUCCCUUGCACAAAAGUCAACAGUCUCAUCCAAGAUCUUGAAAUAUCUUGCUUGUCAUGAGUUACAUAUUUGGGCACUACAGCAUGGCUCAUAACAAAUCGAAUAUCUUCAAUGACACGAACGGUGAUCUCAUACAAAUUUAACCACUUGGUAACCUGUAAGGAGGAAAUUACCCAAAAUUUUACUACAUGAACAAAAGUAAAUGAAAAUUAAAAAAAGGAGCCACAACAGAAAUUUGAAGAAACAAAAUAAAAGUAUCAGAUUCCCAAUCACAAUGCACCAUAAAAACCAAAAUAGGAACAAAAGAACCAGAAAAAAAAGGAACUGAAAUAACUCCAAAACCAGG
Molecule: long non-coding RNA, 23027 nt
Filed under: Prunus persica (peach)
Lineage: Eukaryota; Viridiplantae; Streptophyta; Magnoliopsida; Rosales; Rosaceae
Description: long non-coding RNA (PPER_LNC006628)
Source: RNAcentral